GAAUAAUAAAGAAACCUGGGAAACUUUUCUACCCUGAGUACUCUACAGUGACAGUCAAUUCUCUUGUGGGAUUUGAAACCCUCAAGAGAGGCAGCAGUCUACAUUGGUAAUGAGAGAGGGAGAAAAAAGGAUUAUGAGUCACGAGGAGAGUAGAAUGUAUACAGUAGGGGGGCGGUAUGUCAGAGAAGCUUAAGUCUGAGGGUCUGCAUUCUAGAACCAUUGCUGGGUCAGCUUCUGGAGCUGCUCUCACAUCUUGAGAGGGUUGAACAAUAUCUACCCAGAAGACUAGAAAAUAUAUAUGAAUAACAGUGAUUCCUUCAAGACGCUUAACAAUACAUAUCGGUCAAAAGCAUCUAUUUGAUGAUCAUGUUUGUUCCUUCAUUGACUGAGCCAAAUGAAGCAGCCACAGGAAACCAGUGCAGAGACCAUCAGGAAAUUGUCAAAGAACAGCAAGAAGUAAAGAGGAUCGAUUCCUGGAGCCAAACAGGAUUGCAGGAAAUAACAAUAGCAAACCAGCAAAAAUUCAUGUUCCAGGGAACCCAUAUUUGAAUUCUCGCCAUUGUUCAAGCUGAAGAUGAUGAACCAUCAUUGCCUGUUUCCCUAUUCAUUAUCCUGUCAACAUCAAGAGCUGUUCCCAAAGAAGCUCUCAAAUUCACCUUUUAUUAAAGGCUACGAAUGAAUGAAAAAAAAAAAAAGAAACAUACCAAAUGGAAUGAGCAUC
Molecule: long non-coding RNA, 721 nt
Organism: Felis catus (domestic cat)
Lineage: Eukaryota; Metazoa; Chordata; Mammalia; Carnivora; Felidae
Exons: 3
Source: RefSeq, a predicted model, not a curated record